GCUCAGGAGUCUCGUGGGCUCGGAGAUGUGUAUAAGAGACAGGGCCCCUAAUUGUAUAUUAAGUGUGAAACGAUGUGAAAGUGUUCAGACAGCCAGGAGGUUGGCUUAGAAGCAGCCAUUCCUUUAAAGAGUGCGUAACAGCUCACUGGUCGAAUGUUUUCGCGCGGAAGAUGUAACGGGGCUAAAUAUACAGCCGAAGCUUUGUCAUCAUAUUAUUAAUCCAGAUUUCGAUCCAGGAAAUAUGAUGGGUAGGAGAGCGUUGUAUGGGCAAUGAAGCAGCAACGAGAGUUAGUUGUGGAGACCAUACAAGUGAGAAUGUUGGCAUGAGUAGCGAAGGAAGAGUGAGAAUCUCUUCCGCCGAAUGUCCAAGGGUUCCUGGGGAAGGUUCGUCCGCCCAGGGUUAGUCGGGACCUAAGACGAGGUCGAGAGACGUAGCCGAUGGAUAACAGAUUGAUAUUUCUGUACCACUAUAUAAGCGCCAAAAUCGAAUAUAUGUCGCUAAGGAAAGCCUUCGGGCCUACCGACCCACAUAUUAUUAGAUUAGCAAUGGAGUGACGGAGAAGGAUAAAUGAGCCCAGGCGAUGGUUGACCUGGGGUAAAUGCGUAGGGUGAUCGACAGGUAAAUCCGUUGAUCAUGAAACCUGAGACAUGAUGCCGAGCCGCUUUUAGGCGAAGUCAUUGAUUCCAUACUUCCAAGAAAACCUUCUAGUUAGUUUAUAUAGUGCCCGUACCCCAAACCGACACAGGUGGACAAGUAGAGAAUACUAAGGCGAGCGAGAGAACUCUGGUUAAGGAACUCGGCAAAAUAGUUCCGUAACUUCGGAAGAAGGAACGCCCCAGUAAAGUGAGUGAUUAACUUCAUUAGCUUGAACGGGCCGCAGUGAUCAGACUCAAGCGACUGUUUAUCAAAAACACAGGAGGGUGCAAAGUUCGAAUACAACGUAUACCCUCUGACACCUGCCCGGUGCUGGAAGGUUAAGUGGAUAGGUUAGCUUCGGCGAAGCUUUGAAAUUAAGCCCCAGUAAACGGCGGCCGUAACUAUAACGGUCCUAAGGUAGCGAAAUUCCUUGUCGGGUAAGUUCCGACCUGCACGAAUGGUGUAACGAUUUGAGUACUGUCUCAACCAGAGACUCGGCGAAAUUGCAAUGUGAGUAAAGAUGCUCACUAUGCGCGACAGGACGGAAAGACCCCGGAACCUUUACUGCAACUUGAUAUUGAAUGUUUGUAUGCAUUAUGCAGGAUAAGUGGGAGACUAUGAAAUAAUGGCGCUAGCUGUUAUUGAGUCGACCUUGAGAUACCACUUAAUCCAUAUUGACCUUCUAACCUAGAUCCGUUAUCCGGAUCAGGGACAUUGUCUGGUGGGCAGUUUCACUGGGGCGGUGGCCUCCUAAAAAGUAACGGAGGCGCUCUAAGGUCACCUCAGCGUGGACGGCAAUCACGCAUCGAGUGUAAGUGCAAAAGGUGGCUUGACUGUGACACAAACAAGUGGAGCAGGUACGAAAGUAGGAACUAGUGAUCCCAUGGUUGCAUGUGGGUGCGCCAUGGCUCAUCGGCUAAAAGGUACUCCGGGGAUAACAGGCUUAUACCCCCCAAGAGUCCAUAUCGACGGGGGUGUUUGGCACCUCGAUGUCGGCUCUUCUCAUCCUGGGGCUGGAGCAGGUCCCAAGGGUUAGGCUGUUCGCCUAUUAAAGAGGAACGCGAGCUGGGUUCAGAACGUCGUGAGACAGUUCGGUCCCUAUCCGUCGCGCACGUAAGAAAUUUGAAGAAAGUUGUCCCUAGUACGAGAGGACCGGGAUGAACGAUCCGCUGGUGUGCCAGUUGUUCUGCCAAGAGCACCGCUGGUUAGCUACGAUCGGACGGGAUAAGCGCUGAAAGCAUCUAAGUGCGAAGCCCCUUCUAAGAUAAGAUUUCUCAUCGGGUUAACCGAUUAAGACUCCUUAUAGAACAUGAGGUUGAUAGGUCAGAAGUGUAAUUACAGUAAUGUAUGUAGCUGACUGAUACUAAUAAGUCGAGGGCUUGAACU
Molecule: ribosomal RNA, 2023 nt
Filed under: seawater metagenome
Description: bacterial LSU rRNA
Rfam family: Bacterial large subunit ribosomal RNA
Source: RNAcentral